GAUCCUGAAGUUGGAUUAUGGGAAUUGGAUUUGAGAUCCGAGUUUCCAUUUCUCUUCGCACCACACAAAGAAACAAGGGUUACAGUUCCUCAUUCUGAAACUAUGGAAAGAUGCUCAGGAUGUGAGGGCCGAGGAGACAUACCGUGUCCUACUUGUAAUGCCGGCCAAGAACCUGGAACUUACAAGGAAAAUCAGUUGAGCCAAUGUACAUCUUGUUAUGGAAGGGGCUUGAUUGCUCAUAAAGAUGGAUCUGAUACAAUAUGUUCAAAAUGCAAUGGUAAGGGAAUGCUACCAUGCGGAACAUGUGGAUCACGUGGUCUUGUAAAAUGUCAGACAUGCGACGGACAAGGUUCCCUUCUCACACGCAGCAUUGCUCUGGUUAAAUGGACGACUCGUUCGAACCGAAAAGUCUGUGCUACCAGUGGUGCUGCCUCAGUCCCCGAGGAGGUGUUCCACAAAGCG
Molecule: unclassified non-coding RNA, 462 nt
Filed under: Hevea brasiliensis (rubber tree)
Lineage: Eukaryota; Viridiplantae; Streptophyta; Magnoliopsida; Malpighiales; Euphorbiaceae
Source: RNAcentral